This is a long non-coding RNA of Cynara cardunculus var. scolymus (artichoke), 2143 nucleotides long. RefSeq lists it as uncharacterized. The record is from RefSeq and is a predicted model, not a curated record. The transcript has 2 exons. Lineage: Eukaryota; Viridiplantae; Streptophyta; Magnoliopsida; Asterales; Asteraceae.
CUAUUCAAUUAUUUUGCAUCAAAUCAUUCAAUAACUACCAAACAACCCUUAAGAUUCAGUCCAGAUUUUGUUUCUUAGAUAUCGUUCUCUUGUAAGCCUGAUGUAUUUUAUAUAAAUGGUUCUUAUUUUCUUUUAGUUUUGUAACCUUGUAUGAAUUUAAAUUGUAUUCAUAUGUUUAACACAUACAAUUAUACAAAUAUAUAUAGUACAUAUAUGCAUACAUAUGCCACCUAAGGGGACAUGCCUACAACGUCGUAAUUUAAGGUUUGAUCUUGCCACCAUGCCGCCUCUAAUGACAUUUAGAACCUUGGCUACGAUGGAUUAUGAUAAAUGAUAAUACCUUUUCCUCGUUUUUGUUUGACGAACGGGAAUAGCAUGGAAAUGGGACGAGUAUCUAGAAGGAGGGUAAUGCUCUCUCGUCCCCACAAGUAAUCCCGAAUGGGUUUGGUGAACCCCUUGUGUACCUGUUUAAUAAAAAAAUAAUGGAACUAAUGUAUGUUAGAAUUAAAUUUGUAAUAUUGUUGGAAAAUGGUCGCUGCAACAGACGUCAUUUGGCUCAAGUCUUAUGUCUUAUGUCACGUUAAUUUUAAUGCACGCUUCCAAGGCUUGAUGCUUGGCCUCGUCACCACACCACACCACACCAUGUCUUACACUAUUUGAAAUCUUAAUUUGUAAUGAAUUGUCACUACAUUUAUUACAAAUAUUGAAAAUUAAAUAUAUUUGUCAGUUAAAAAAUAAUAAAUAUGUACACAUGAGAAUGAUUGUGUGAGAAGUGAAGUUAUAGUGAGCAACGUAAGAAGAGAUUUAAACCGUUGAUUAUAUUUAAUCACAUGUCCCAUCUAUAAAUUACGCCUUAGAAUGAAAUUGAUCCGGUGUAUCUCAUUGUACCUCAUUAAUAUUGACAUUCACUUAUGAUUAAUUCAAAUGUGAGAUAUAUUCUUACGUUUCUCACUGGAACCCUAUCCCAUAUAUAUACACAUAUUCAUUUAUACACAUAUAUUUAGGGUUCGUAUAUUGGGGGUCAUAAGAGAUUUGUUAGCAAAAACUAUUUAUCUUUUAUACUUUUGUAAAAAAAACUAUUUAUCUUAUAUAUAUAUUUGCACUAGUUUGAUCGAUUCAGAUUUAAGACUUCAAACGUAAAAACAAACAAUUUUACUAAUCCAGAUUUCAAACUUCGUAACCACCCUUUUAUAAAUUAAUAGUAAAAUUAAAUUUCAAGACCUCUUAAAAAAACAACCUCCACCGUAAUAAAAGAAAAAAUUUAAUCUGGAUCUGAUCAGGGACCUCGCUUCAAAGUAUGAAAAUAUACCCGUUCCCAUCCAGUUACCCAACAGGAAAUCCCGGUCCUGCUACGGUUGGAUCUGCCAGUAACCGUCCCCAUGUGUAAUAUGGGAUACGAAGCUUGAACACAAGGAGAAGAUAAAAGAGGCAGCGCUAAGGAAUUCCCACAUCGUUUACGGGCUCAGAUGCAUGAAUGUAUAUAUGGAGAAAAGAGAGACGAAUGAGCACGACCUUACUUGAACAGGAUCUGUUCUAUAGGCUCGUACCUCUGUAUUCUUGAUUCCUAAGAAGACAGUAACCCAUGUCUGGUUGAUGAGCCAGAACCAUGUAGCCAGAGCGUGAUUAACCGAGACCCAUGGUCUAGGCCAUGGCUCAGUAGAUGAUCGUUGCCAUCCCGUAUGAUCGUGUCUUGGCAUGGUUACAUGGUUGUCUGACAGAUAAUUGUUCUUAUUUUUAUUUUUGUGGAAAUUUGAUCAGAUGGUUUAUGAGAAAAUGAUGUGUAUAGCAUUUAGUCAUUCUCUAUUUUGAUCCUUGUCUUGUAGGUGGGUACAGAUGAAGGUUAUGUGGAAAAUGUGGCUUACUUUUUUAUGCAAAGCAAGUGUUCGCCUAAAUGUUUCUAUGGGAGGUUAUGAUUUGUCUUUGCCAUGAUCUUGAACUAAUCUACUGUAGGUGCAUUGAAGGUUGUAUGGAAAAUGACCUAAUUUUUUGGAUGCAAAGCAAGUGUUCGAUGAAAUGUUUCUAUGAGCAGAUUAUGAUUUGACCUGCAUUGAUUAUGGACUUAUUUAAGAAGCUUGUGGUGUCUAAACGUGUUUAUACAAGAAUUACUGUAUGUUGGACUCAUAUGAUUGAUGGGUUUGUCCUU